CAGUCGCCACGGUAAUACAGAGGGUGCAAGCGUUAAUCGGAAUUACUGGGCGUAAAGCGCGCGUAGGUGGUUUGUUAAGUUGGAUGUGAAAGCCCCGGGCUCAACCUGGGAACUGCAUCCAAAACUGGCAAGCUAGAGUACGGUAGAGGGUGGUGGAAUUUCCUGUGUAGCGGUGAAAUGCGUAGAUAUAGGAAGGAACACCAGUGGCGAAGGCGACCACCUGGACUGAUACUGACACUGAGGUGCGAAAGCGUGGGGAGCAAACAGGAUUAGUUACCCCCGUAGUCCCUGUCUCUUAUAC
Molecule: ribosomal RNA, 301 nt
Filed under: uncultured bacterium
Lineage: Bacteria
Description: partial 16S ribosomal RNA
Rfam family: Bacterial small subunit ribosomal RNA
Source: RNAcentral